This 274-nucleotide ribosomal RNA is filed under the name uncultured bacterium. Its description in RNAcentral is "partial 16S ribosomal RNA". It matches the Rfam family "Bacterial small subunit ribosomal RNA", at positions 523 to 796 of the family's 1533-position model. The record is from RNAcentral.
AUACGGAGGGUGCAAGCGUUACUCGGAAUCACUGGGCGUAAAGCGCGCGCAGGCGGCCAUUUAAGUUGGAUGUGAAAGCCUACGGCUCAACCGUAGAACUGCAUCCAAAACUAUUUGGCUAGAGUGUGGGAGAGGAAGAUGGAAUUAGUUGUGUAGGGGUAAAAUCCGUAGAGAUAACUAGGAAUACCAAAAGCGAAGGCAAUCUUCUGGAACAUUACUGACGCUGAGGCGCGAAAGCGUGGGGAGCAAACAGGAUUAGAAACCCCGGUAGUCC